UAGGGAAUCUUCGGCAAUGGACGCAAGUCUGACCGAGCAACGCCGCGUGAGUGAAGAAGGUUUUCGGAUCGUAAAACUCUGUUGUUAGAGAAGAACAAGGAUGAGAGUAAAAUGUUCAUCCCUUGACGGUAUCUAACCAGAAAGCCACGGCUAACUACGUGCCAGCAGCCGCGGUAAUACGUAGGUGGCAAGCGUUGUCCGGAUUUAUUGGGCGUAAAGCGAGCGCAGGUGGUUUCUUAAGUCUGAUGUGAAAGCCCCCGGCUCAACCGGGGAGGGUCAUUGGAAACUGGGGAACUUGAGUGCAGAAGAGGAGAGUGGAAUUCCAUGUGUAGCGGUGAAAUGCGUAGAUAUAUGGAGGAACACCAGUGGCGAAGGCGGCUCUCUGGUCUGUAACUGACGCUGAGGCUCGAAAGCGUGGGGAGCAAACAGG
This 430-nucleotide ribosomal RNA is filed under the name uncultured Enterococcaceae bacterium. RNAcentral's name for it is "bacterial SSU rRNA". It matches the Rfam family "Bacterial small subunit ribosomal RNA", at positions 355 to 776 of the family's 1533-position model. Lineage: Bacteria; Bacillati; Bacillota; Bacilli; Lactobacillales; Enterococcaceae. The record is from RNAcentral.